CUUUCAACAACGGAUCUCUUGGUUCUGGCAUCGAUGAAGAACGCAGCAAAAUGCGAUAAGUAAUGUGAAUUGCAGAAUUCAGCGAAUCAUCGAAUCUUUGAACGCACAUUGCGCCCCCUGGCAUUCCGGGGGGCAUGUCUGUCCGAGCGUC
RNAcentral lists this ribosomal RNA (151 nucleotides) under Diploschistes cinereocaesius. RNAcentral's name for it is "5.8S ribosomal RNA". It matches the Rfam family "5.8S ribosomal RNA". From Rfam's summary of the family: 5.8S ribosomal RNA (5.8S rRNA) is a component of the large subunit of the eukaryotic ribosome. It is transcribed by RNA polymerase I as part of the 45S precursor that also contains 18S and 28S rRNA. Lineage: Eukaryota; Fungi; Ascomycota; Lecanoromycetes; Ostropales; Graphidaceae. The record is from RNAcentral.